UUGUUUCUUUAUGGGAUUGUUUCUUAAUCAUUUUACUGUUUCUUUAUGAGACUGUUUAUGUAAAUUGACUCUAUAACCAUGUAGUUGUAUAUAUUGCUGUUUUAAGAUUUAGAAUUCAAAUGAUGCGGCGCUGAUAGAUAUUAACUAUAUGCUAUAGAGUUUUUUGACUUCUGUAAUUUGAUCGCACCUUCCACUUAAGAGCAAUCUUCACGGACAGUUGCCGUGCAAGCUGUCACCGAUACUGUCAAAUAUAUAUGACCUCAGCUGUUAAUUCUCUUGUGCUAUGUAGCAGAUAUCUUUGAACUACUUGGUGAUUUCCAGUUUUCCAUGGCAGGUGGAAAUCUUUGGGUCUUUCAGAACAGGACUCUAUCUACCAAGAAGCUCUGUCGAUGACUAACAUGAGUGAUGAUGAAGACUAUCUGCGCCGAGGAGAUGGACAUCACUGAUCAGCACCUCAAUCCAUGCAAAUGCGGAUAUAUAUGAUAUUUGCGUGUGGUGCUGCCACCACAUCAUAGACAUGGCCAAUAAGGAGACAGAGGGCCGCUGCCCUGCAAGCCGCACUCGCUACGACAAGGAGGAUUGUCAAGAUGGCUGCCACUUGUGAGAGGACGGUGGCAGAGAAAAAUGCAUGGGUGAUCUCAGUAGCUCGGCUCUAUCGUCAGCUUACCAACAAUAGCGCUGAAGUUGGAGAUCUAAUAAUGAGGGAUCAUGGUACUGGUUAUAAGGAACAGUAGUUGCAAGAUGCAGCAAGUGGUGUAUGAAGUGUUUAUUCCAGUGUUCUCUGAUAAAUACUUGAAAAAUGUUGCAUAGGCUGAAUUUUAUUUUGCAUUGAUGGGAAGUUUUUUUUUUUUUUGCUUUGUAGUGAUCUUUGAGAUUGACAAGUCACUCCAAUGCUUGCUCCAGGAGAUGGUCA
Setaria italica (foxtail millet) is the source of this 913-nucleotide long non-coding RNA. RefSeq lists it as uncharacterized. The transcript has 5 exons. Lineage: Eukaryota; Viridiplantae; Streptophyta; Magnoliopsida; Poales; Poaceae. The record is from RefSeq and is a predicted model, not a curated record.